GAUGAACGCUGGCGGCGUGCCUAAUACAUGCAAGUCGAGCGAACAGACGAGGAGCUUGCUCCUCUGACGUUAGCGGCGGACGGGUGAGUAACACGUGGAUAACCUACCUAUAAGACUGGGAUAACUUCGGGAAACCGGAGCUAAUACCGGAUAAUAUAUUGAACCGCAUGGUUCAAUAGUGAAAGACGGUUUUGCUGUCACUUAUAGAUGGAUCCGCGCCGCAUUAGCUAGUUGGUAAGGUAACGGCUUACCAAGGCAACGAUGCGUAGCCGACCUGAGAGGGUGAUAGGCCACACUGGAACUGAGACACGGUCCAGACUCCUACGGGAGGCAGCAGUAGGGAAUCUUCCGCAAUGGGCGAAAGCCUGACGGAGCAACGCCGCGUGAGUGAUGAAGGUCCUCGGAUCGUAAAACUCUGUUAUUAGGGAAGAACAAAUGUGUAAGUAACUAUGCACGUCUUGACGGUACCUAAUCAGAAAGCCACGGCUAACUACGUG
RNAcentral lists this ribosomal RNA (497 nucleotides) under uncultured bacterium. RNAcentral describes it as "partial 16S ribosomal RNA". It matches the Rfam family "Bacterial small subunit ribosomal RNA", at positions 28 to 507 of the family's 1533-position model. The record is from RNAcentral.